Long non-coding RNA from Spea bombifrons (plains spadefoot toad), 442 nucleotides. RefSeq lists it as uncharacterized. The transcript is spliced from 3 exons. NCBI's taxonomy places the organism in Eukaryota, Metazoa, Chordata, Amphibia, Anura, Pelobatidae. The record is from RefSeq and is a predicted model, not a curated record.
GCCGGCUUCUUCUCCGUAGGGCUGUCUCUUUUCUUGGUGUUGCAUCAUGUCCUAGUGUCCUGCUGUGCUGUGAAGUACAGAUGUUAAGCAAUGACAUUUGAAGACGGAUUAACAUGAAGCACCAGGUCUGCUUCAAAUGGAUUGUUGUGCCAUAUCUGUUCUGCUUCCCAUUCGGCUACGAAAAGGUUGGCGUAACUCGGCGUGAACCUGGCACCCAUGGCUGUCCCACAUAGAUGACGGUAUAAAUACACAGUUAACCUCUUAGUGUCCAGAGGGAAGGACAAUCUUUCAAGCCAUGGUUCCCCAGAGGUUUCCCCCCUUAGGGUGGUUUUUCCUCUCCUGUGUGCUGAAAGGUGACUCUUCGUGAGUCUCGAGGUAGCUGUCACCAUGAUCAGCUCUUUCAGUCCUAAUUAAUUGGACUAUUAAUUAAUUAAUGUUGUAA